GAAUAUUGGACAAUGGGCGCAAGCCUGAUCCAGCCAUGCCGCGUGAGUGAUGAAGGCCCUAGGGUUGUAAAGCUCUUUUACUUGGGAAGAUAAUGACUGUACCAGGAGAAUAAGCCCCGGCUAACUUCGUGCCAGCAGCCGCGGUAAUACGAAGGGGGCUAGCGUUGUUCGGAUUUACUGGGCGUAAAGCGCACGUAGGCGGAUCGUUAAGUCGGGGGUGAAAUCCUGGAGCUCAACUCCAGAACUGCCUUCGAUACUGGCGAUCUUGAGUCCGGAAGAGGUGAGUGGAACUCCUAGUGUAGAGGUGGAAUUCGUAGAUAUUAGGAAGAACACCAGUGGCGAAGGCGGCUCACUGGUCCGGUACUGACGCUGAGGUGCGAAAGCGUGGGGAGCAAAC
This 397-nucleotide ribosomal RNA is filed under the name uncultured bacterium. RNAcentral describes it as "bacterial SSU rRNA". It matches the Rfam family "Bacterial small subunit ribosomal RNA", at positions 359 to 773 of the family's 1533-position model. The record is from RNAcentral.